RNAcentral lists this ribosomal RNA (261 nucleotides) under uncultured bacterium. RNAcentral describes it as "partial 16S ribosomal RNA". It matches the Rfam family "Bacterial small subunit ribosomal RNA", at positions 28 to 290 of the family's 1533-position model. The record is from RNAcentral.
GACGAACGCUGGCGGCGUGCUUAACACAUGCAAGUCGAGCGGUAAGGCCCUUUCGGGGGUACACGAGCGGCGAACGGGUGAGUAACACGUGGGUGACCUGCCCUCAGCUCUGGGAUAAGCCUGGGAAACCGGGUCUAAUACCGGAUAUGACUCCGUGACGCAUGUUGUGGGGUGGAAAGCCUUGUGCGGCUGAGGAUGGGCCCGCGGCCUAUCAGCUUGUUGGUGGGGUGAUGGCCUACCAAGGCGACGACGGGUAGCCGG